CGGGGUGAGUAACGCGUGGGUAACCUACCCUGUACACACAGAUAACAUACCGAAAGGUAUGCUAAUACGGGAUAAUAUAUUUGAGAGGCAUCUCUUGAAUAUCAAAGGUGAGCCAGUACAGGAUGGACCCGCGUCUGAUUAGCUAGUUGGUAAGGUAACGGCUUGCCAAGGCGACGAUCAGUAGCCGACCUGAGAGGGUGAUCGGCCACAUUGGAACUGAGACACGGUCCAA
Molecule: ribosomal RNA, 232 nt
Filed under: uncultured bacterium
Lineage: Bacteria
Description: partial 16S ribosomal RNA
Rfam family: Bacterial small subunit ribosomal RNA
Source: RNAcentral